This 5317-nucleotide long non-coding RNA is filed under the name Oryza brachyantha (malo sina). Its description in RNAcentral is "long non-coding RNA (OBRA_LNC002643)". Lineage: Eukaryota; Viridiplantae; Streptophyta; Magnoliopsida; Poales; Poaceae. The record is from RNAcentral.
CAUGUUCCACUGAUUAUACUGAUUGUCUUUUGCUCCCUUUUCUUCUUCUUUUCAAAUCCAGAUCAGCCAGCUGAUAAAAUGGUGAAUAAUAUGUACAAGUACAACUAGCUCCAAACCUACUGAGUCUAUGACCACACCGUUGAUUACAUAAACACAACCGAUGAUCUCCUUAAUGUGUAUGUUCUCUUCUUUCAGUCAUAAGCCAUUUCAAGACCUGAGAUACUUAUCAUGAGACAUUGUAGGCCCUGAUAUACCAGUGGUAGGUUGUUUCCAUAUACCUCCCAUUCUUACCGGUCAUAACUCUUCACUGCUAUGUUCCUGCUAGUUUGUCUCUUGGAAGGAUCCCUUCGAUUUUACCCUAUGUUGUGUGUGUAUAGAAGAUGGAGGGCAGGAGACCUCUUAUAGUACUCAAGUAGCACAACUCAGGUCUGUCAAAUUAAUAAUGAUCAAUCAGGAUGUACAUAAUUCAUGGUUGCAACAUUCUUCACCCUCUUCUUUUUGCAUAUGUUUAUGUUUAUGUUUAUAAUGCAAAAUUUUAAUUCUUGGUCUUAAAUUUGGAGUUUACUUUUACCGUAUUGUAUUUUUCAAAUUACUAAGAACACCUAUAUAAAAAUUUUAUUCGUAAAUUACUUUUUGCUUAUAAAUAUGACGUUUGACCUUUUACGUGAAAAAGGCAAAAGAUCACCAACCAUAUCUCCAUGUCCUAAAACAAAACUAAUAUAGUUUUACAUCCAUUUCAGGUUAGUUUUACCUACAUUUAUAUGGGUACUAAUUAAUCUAAACAUAUACAAAAUAUAUACAUUAGUUCACCAUUAUAUUUAGAUAAAUGAAAAUCAUCUUCUAAUCCCACAUAGGAAACCAAGAGAGUUGUGAGUUUCCGACGCGACCGUUCACCUUUAUGAUUGUACAUGUGAGUGUAAAUUUCCAUGCGUCUUAUACGACUUUAUUUCAGCAAUAGCCUAACCAUCAGGUUGUAAGGAUACGUGUAGGCUACAAUAGCGCAAAGCAAAAUUUUAUACCACAUAAACCAGGAACCAUGGAAUUUUGAUCGUUGAUCAUUCCCACAUGGUGCGCUCUGUACCAAUAGACGAUGCUAAGAAGUCAAAGGAAUGUCAGCAAUCCGACACAUGUCGAUGUAGGGGAAGUAGCUGAUUGUCGAAGCUUGACCUUCUCCAACACAUGGUGCAACUGUGCCAAUCAACACCAUAAUCUAGCGGUUCCUCACUAGUAUUUACAUAUCCAGGGAAAGAACAUCGUGUGUGGAUGUGCUAGCGUCUGAGUAUGGCUAGGGUUUGGCUCAGGAGAAGGAUGCCUAGGCUUUUCUUACACUCCAAACUAUCCUCCUCACCCACGUAUAUUGAAGACCUCCACAAUAAGCUGGAUCAUCAAUAAAAGGAGGGCGAGGAGGUUGUGUCAUGGUGUAGAUUCUAGAUAUAACCGUAGAACAUCCCUUGUUAUAUAUAUUUUGUAGUCAUGAACAAAUUUAGUUGAAUAUGUGUUAGAUUGUUUUGCCACUUUGUAAUUUAGCUUCUAGAUCAGUUUGUGGAACUCCGAAUUGAUCACCUCAACCUAUUUUGAAACCCUGAUACAUGCAAAUAUUACAAAGAUACAAGUGUGCUUUUAAUACAAAUUUAACAAGCUCAGAAUUUGCCACCGGUCAUCGUCUCUUAGCUUAAAUGGGGUUUUUUUGGUCGUGCUCCUAAUGGGGUUGUCCACUUAAAAACAUAUGAAAUGUAUUCAGCCGGAUCCAGGACUUUCACUUGUCUGUUAACCAUACUUUAAAUUUACGCAGUAUAUAUCCUGGAGUACGUCCACACAUACAUACAUUCUAUCAAGUAUGAAAGUUACCACACCCAAACUAGAUAGGAUUAGCAUGUACAAUGCCAACAUGCAAAUUAAGGGCUCUACUCGGUGGCCCUUGACAUUUUGUUUGAGCCAUUUGCUUGCCGUGGGUUUAGGAGGCAUAAGGAAAUUAGUGUGUAUUCGGUGGUGAUCAGCAUUCAGCCUCAUCUUUUUUAUGGGCACUUGCCUGCAUCUAUCUUCAACCAAUUUGGCAUUUGUUCCAAUUCGAUAGCGUCAUGUGGUGUUACUGCAAAGGAAGGUACAUGGAAUCAAUGAAAUACAUAGAUGAUGAUGUCUCUUUCCAAUAACUGAAAGAAGAGUAUAGCGUAUGUGCAGCAGGAAAUGUUGAGGCCGAGUACUGCAAAGCACCAAGCCCUGAAAAGAUUCAUCUGCCAGAUUGGCAUACCGACCAAGGGACCAACCACCACUGUGUAGAAUUAGAAUACCGAUAACCAAGAGUGGUUACAUUUUGUGCAUUGCAUUUAAUUUUAGUGGGUGUUCCUAUCAUAUUUGAUUUAGUCUUGUGGUGGUCUGACCAAAUUUGGCUGUGUGGUGCAAGAGUAGAGAGUUCAUUAGCUGUUAGUGAAUCAUAGUUUGUAUGUAUGAAGUACCACGGGCCAGCACAUCGGUAGGCAGCAUAUCGAUAAUCCAUGCACACAUUUCAUUGGCACCCAGAUCCAGCACACAUAAGGUGGGUGCGGGUCCAUCAGUUCAUGGGUUAUCUGCGGUUGGCACAAGUUUUAAAAAAUAAAGUAAUUUUUAUUUUGAAAAUCUCAAAAAUAACUAGAGCCGGCCACAUAAUCACUUACGUCGUUUGUUCUCUGACUAAAUGAUUGAUAAGGAAUUUUGUGCAAAGCCCUACUUGCAGUAUAAAAAGAGUAUUUAUGGUUCUCUUAUUGUAACUGCACUACUACAAAAUCACAAAGGGAAUGUGGCGCCCUAUUUUCACAGGCACAUAAAUGAUCCUAUAUGAAAAUAAAUUUCCAUCGAAAUAUUUUGAAGUUUACUAGGCUUCUAUAGACAGUAAUCCACCCAUAGUCGCGAUGUAGGUCCUACGAUGUUUUGAAGGAAAUAUGCAAGUAUUCGGCAUAGAGAAUUUUAGCCAGAGACGACUCCCUCCUAACAUUGCCCGCUCAACAUCUCACCGUCAAUCACUUGUUAUCUAUGUUGUUCAUGUUAUUCUAUUGAAUUUCACCGCUAAAAAUUGUUUUGUUUUUUGGCACUCCAAGUAAUUUCAAAUGAAAAUAUCAUCAACUACUAAGUUGCAGAUCUUGUCGACCUCUAUAACUUUGACAUAAAGAUCCGAGAUUCCUUGAUGAACAUUUGGACUUUAAAUGCUAAAAUUGAGAUCUUCCACCUACGAGGCAAGAGAAAUGUCAGCCGGUUGGUGCUUGAAAAUAGUUUGGUGCACAGUAGGAAAUCACAAUUAUUAAUUUCCGAUAGAUAAGUUGGUUGGUUCUUGAAAGUAUUUUAGUACAUGCAUUCAAAUUGGUCUGUUUCAUUGCCUAAAUUACAGAUCCAUAUAGGCACUCAGCGACGAAGUUUGAUCAUUUAUGAGAACUGGUGAGCCCUUGAUGACACAAUUUACCAUACAUAUCAAAAGGUCAGGGUAAAUUUUACACAGUUUUUGAACCAAGUGAGACCAAAACUGAAACAAAAUCAAUAUUUCUGGGACCAAAGUAGACUAUUCGAUGAGAUAGUAUUACUCCAUAUAUAAUUUAAUUAAUGAAAUACAUGUACAAAUCCAUAACCAUGUUUUUGUAUUGUGGGAGUUUACAUAAUACUUGUUCAUGCGACCAGAAGCAUAUUCCAUGCGCGUUCAAUGUCAUGGCUCAAGGAUGCCAAGAGGAAAUGAUGAGCAGACUGAAACUAGCUGCUAUCUAGGUAGCAGUUGUUCUCUUGUUAAUUUAGCUAGAUCAUGCAGAUGCAUCAGUUUAUUUUAGACAAUCCACCUUGGACACUCCAACUAUAAUGUGAUCUAUCAUUUAUUUUUCUGUGGCAAACUGGGUAACUCUGUGAAAUUGAAUUUACUCUACCACUCCUCUUAGUGCAGCCGCCCAUUAUCAAAAAAGAAAACUUAUUUUCAGUUUCUUCUGUUGGUAUAUACUAGUAGUUGCUUGCGAUAUUCUUCAUCUUGCUUGUUCUCCCUGAUUUACUUGUAUUUCCUUAUUGUAGUCUUGAUCAUUAUUCGUGAUCUCUAUAGCUUUAUUUCCAACUGUGAUUCUACAUUUCCUUAUGCAACCCAUUCUUAAGAAAGAAUUCAUGACUUCAGCUGCCUUAUUCUACUUCCAUCUUAUAUCUUAGGUGGAUUGAAUAACAAUGACCUUUUGUUGUUUGUGGGUGUGUGAGGAGAGGGGGUUGGUUUUAAAAUAGGGACUUCAACAUUCCAGAUUUUUUUAGGGAAAUAACUUGCAGUGUAAUUAUAGUGUCGUGGUACUAGUACUACAUACGUAGUAUUGCCUUAUUCAAAAAUUUAUGCAACGAUAUAAGUUGUUGUCAAAAUAAAUUUAGUAAUACAUCUCAUCACAACAAAAUAAACAAAAUAAUUAUGUAAUUUCUUUGAAUAAAUUUAUGGCCAAAUGUGUGUCAAAAAAUCCACGACGUCAUCUAUUAAAUACAGGGGAAGAACUAAAAUAAAGGCAUUUAUUUUGCUUCAUCUAAUAUCAAUCCAACCUCAAACUAAUCACCUGUUAGUGUUGGCAAGUAAGGUCGUGUCAUAAUCAUUGAGGGCGUGUUUUUUUCAAUUGGGCCAUUUCAAUGCUUUCCAAAAUGUUUGAUAAAAAUUCGCGAGAUAACUAAUAUUUCAAAUUACCAUUUUAUGUUUUUUAGUGGAAUUACCAUUUUAUGUUGGCGACAUUCAGAUUAUAUAACUAGAAAACAAACACAAUGUGUAUCAUAACCCUCAAAUCAACCUGAUCAUGACACUGUUCUAAAAGGCGAAUGACCGAUUUACAUAGUUUUGACCAUAAAAUCAAGAUUCCAUUAAAAAGGAAUAAAACUGAGAUAUAGAGUUUUUCCAUAAUAAAAUAAGAGUAUUUCUACUGGUGAAAAUGAUGUCUUAAGCUGAAAUCAUAUUUUUCUGCAAAUUAUUUGAGAUUACUUUAGCCAUGUCCAUGCAUCUGGAAUCGUAUUCUACAUGAGCUCAUUGCGACAGGGGGGGGGAGAAAGCAAGAAGCAGCAUGUUCCACUGAUUAUACCGAUUCUCUUUUACCCCUUCUCUUCUUCUUUUCAAAUCCAGAUCAACCAGCUAAUAAAAUGGUGAAUAAUAUGUACAAGUACAACUAGCUCCAAACCUACCGAGUCUAUGACCACACCGUUGAUUACAUAAACACAACUGAUGAUCUCCUUAAUGCAUGUGUUGUCUUCUUUCAGUCAGAAGCCAUUUCAAAACCGAAGGUACUUAUCAUAAGAUGUUGUAGGCCUUGAUAUUCUAGUGGUAGGUUGUUUCCAUAUACCUCCCAUUCUUACCGGUCAU